RNAcentral lists this long non-coding RNA (236 nucleotides) under Homo sapiens (human). RNAcentral describes it as "LHRI_LNC812.1". The record is from RNAcentral. Lineage: Eukaryota; Metazoa; Chordata; Mammalia; Primates; Hominidae.
CACCGGUCCCAGCCUUUUUUUGUAAUUUAUAUAUUUAUUUUUGAGACAGAGUUUUGCUCUUGUUGCCCAGGCUGGAGUGCGAUGGCGUGAUCUCGGCUCAUUGCAACCUCUGCCUCCCGGCUUCAAGCAAUUCUGCCUGAGCCUCCGGAGUAGCUGGGAUUACAGGCACGAACCACCACACCUGGCUAAUUUUGUAUGUUUACUAGAGACGGGGUUUCACCAUGUUGACCAGGCUG